Glycine soja is the source of this 1170-nucleotide RNA transcript. It is a transcript of the gene named DAG protein, chloroplastic-like, with no coding region annotated. The transcript is spliced from 5 exons. The record is from RefSeq and is a predicted model, not a curated record. Lineage: Eukaryota; Viridiplantae; Streptophyta; Magnoliopsida; Fabales; Fabaceae.
AAAUAAAAAAAAAAAUCUGUCGUCGAGGGAGCCUUAUCGUUUUACUACGCUCUCUUGGACUCAGUUCAGUUUCACGACCGAUCCUACAAUGGCGACAGUCACGUUUUCCUUUUCCGCUAAAACCCUAACUCUACCUUAUCACCCCAAAACCCCAAUCUCCAACUUUACCCCGGUAACGAAUCUUCGCCUCCCUCCUUCUAUCGUGACCCGAACCCGCAAUUGUAACCGGAUUCGGGCGGCGCUGGAUGGGGAUUUCUCGGCGAAAAGGAGCAGCAGCAGCAACAACAACGACCAGAGGGAGACGAUAAUGUUACCUGGUUGUGACUACAACCAUUGGCUGAUUGUGAUGGAGUUUCCAAAGGACCCUGCACCCACCCGUGAACAGAUGAUUGACACGUACCUCGACACUCUUGCCACUGUCUUGGGAAGCAUGGAGGAAGCUAAAAAGAACAUGUAUGCCUUUAGCACCACCACUUACACUGGAUUUCAGUGCACUGUUGAUGAAGCAACCUCCGAGAAAUUCAAGGGUUUGCCUGGGGUUCUUUGGGUACUGCCAGACUCCUAUAUAGAUGUUAAGAAUAAAGACUACGGAGGUGACAAGUACAUAAAUGGGGAGAUUAUUCCUUGUAAGUACCCUACCUACCAACCGAAACGUAGCGCACCAAAGAAUGAGAGUAGAAGGUAUGAGAGACGGAGAGAUGGCCCUCCCCCUGACCGCAGAAGGCCAAGACAAGAGGCCGCUGCCUCCGAUUCAUCCUCUACAUGAGCCUUGCAGGUGAGUUUCAGUUUUGCUGAUAGUAACUAAUGCCAAGUGAAAGCUGCUCCUUAUCACAGCUCUAUCAUGCUCAUGGUCAUUUUAUCAAAUAGAAGAUUGAACUUGGGUUGAAUUCUCAUCAGAUGCAUACAAUGUUUCUUGCAAGCUCAAACUGGUAUUUUCACAAUUCAUCUUGAGGAAUAUGUGCUUUUGGACUAUGAGUAUGACAUGUGGGACAAUUGUUAGGUUUAUUUGUCUGUGUAAUUUGGAGAGCUACUUAUCGUGCAACCAGUUUGUUUUCGUGAUAACUUUUUCUGCAAGUUUCAUGGCAGCUACAAUAUUAACACAUAAAGUGACUGAUAUGAACUGUACAAGUUUAGAUAAUAUGCAUAUAUAGCCUUUUGUCAUUAUCUUAA